RNAcentral lists this ribosomal RNA (426 nucleotides) under uncultured bacterium. Its description in RNAcentral is "bacterial SSU rRNA". It matches the Rfam family "Bacterial small subunit ribosomal RNA", at positions 355 to 774 of the family's 1533-position model. The record is from RNAcentral.
UCGAGAAUUUUUCACAAUGGGCGCAAGCCUGAUGGAGCGACGCCGCGUGGGGGAUGAAGGGCUUCGGCUCGUAAACCCCUGUCAUUUGCGAACAAACCCUCAUAUUGAACAAGUAUGAGGUUGAUUGUAGCGAAAGAGGAAGGGACGACUAACUCUGUGCCAGCAGCCGCGGUAAUACAGAGGUCCCGAGCGUUGUUCGGAUUCACUGGGCGUAAAGGGUGCGUAGGUGGUGGGGUAAGUCUCGUGUGAAAGCUCGCAGCUUAACUGCGAAAAGUCACGGGAUACUAUCCGGCUAGAGGCUUGGAGGGGGGACUGGAAUACUUGGUGUAGCAGUGAAAUGCGUAGAUAUCAAGUGGAACACCAGUGGCGAAGGCGAGUCCCUGGACAAGACCUGACACUGAGGCACGAAAGCCAGGGGAGCAACAG